Ribosomal RNA from Cottoperca gobio, 120 nucleotides. Lineage: Eukaryota; Metazoa; Chordata; Actinopteri; Perciformes; Bovichtidae. The record is from Ensembl.
GAUUACAGGCCAUACCACACUGACAACCCCCGAACUCGUCUGAUCUCGGAAGCUAAGCAGAGUUGGGCUGGGUCAGUACUUGGAUGGGUGACUGCCUGGGAAUACCUGGUGCUGUAAUCA